AGAGUUUGAUCCUGGCUCAGGACGAACGCUGGCGGCGUGCCUAAUACAUGCAAGUAGAACGCUGAAGAGAGGAGCUUGCUCUUCUUGGAUGAGUUGCGAACGGGUGAGUAACGCGUAGGUAACCUGCCUUGUAGCGGGGGAUAACUAUUGGAAACGAUAGCUAAUACCGCAUAACAAUGGAUGACACAUGUCAUUUAUUUGAAAGGGGCAAUUGCUCCACUACAAGAUGGACCUGCGUUGUAUUAGCUAGUAGGUGAGGUAAUGGCUCACCUAGGCGACGAUACAUAGCCGACCUGAGAGGGUGAUCGGCCACACUGGGACUGAGACACGGCCCAGACUCCUACGGGAGGCAGCAGUAGGGAAUCUUCGGCAAUGGGGGCAACCCUGACCGAGCAACGCCGCGUGAGUGAAGAAGGUUUUCGGAUCGUAAAGCUCUGUUGUAAGUCAAGAACGGGUGUGAGAGUGGAAAGUUCACACUGUGACGGUAGCUUACCAGAAAGGGACGGCUAACUACGUGCCAGCAGCCGCGGUAAUACGUAGGUCCCGAGCGUUGUCCGGAUUUAUUGGGCGUAAAGCGAGCGCAGGCGGUUUGAUAAGUCUGAAGUUAAAGGCUGUGGCUCAACCAUAGUUCGCUUUGGAAACUGUCAAACUUGAGUGCAGAAGGGGAGAGUGGAAUUCCAUGUGUAGCGGUGAAAUGCGUAGAUAUAUGGAGGAACACCGGUGGCGAAAGCGGCUCUCUGGUCUGUAACUGACGCUGAGGCUCGAAAGCGUGGGGAGCGAACAGGAUUAGAUACCCUGGUAGUCCACGCCGUAAACGAUGAGUGCUAGGUGUUGGAUCCUUUCCGGGAUUCAGUGCCGCAGCUAACGCAUUAAGCACUCCGCCUGGGGAGUACGACCGCAAGGUUGAAACUCAAAGGAAUUGACGGGGGCCCGCACAAGCGGUGGAGCAUGUGGUUUAAUUCGAAGCAACGCGAAGAACCUUACCAGGUCUUGACAUCCCGAUGCUAUUUCUAGAGAUAGAAAGUUACUUCGGUACAUCGGUGACAGGUGGUGCAUGGUUGUCGUCAGCUCGUGUCGUGAGAUAUUGGGUUAAGUCCCGCAACGAGCGCAACCCCUAUUGUUAGUUGCCAUCAUUCAGUUGGGCACUCUAGCGAGACUGCCGGUAAUAAACCGGAGGAAGGUGGGGAUGACGUCAAAUCAUCAUGCCCCUUAUGACCUGGGCUACACACGUGCUACAAUGGUUGGUACAACGAGUUGCGAGUCGGUGACGGCGAGCUAAUCUCUUAAAGCCAAUCUCAGUUCGGAUUGUAGGCUGCAACUCGCCUACAUGAAGUCGGAAUCGCUAGUAAUCGCGGAUCAGCACGCCGCGGUGAAUACGUUCCCGGGCCUUGUACACACCGCCCGUCACACCACGAGAGUUUGUAACACCCGAAGUCGGUGAGGUAACCUUUUGGAGCCAGCCGCCUAAGGUGGGACAGAUGAUUGGGGUGAAGUCGUAACAAGGUA
This 1506-nucleotide ribosomal RNA is filed under the name metagenome. RNAcentral's name for it is "bacterial SSU rRNA". It matches the Rfam family "Bacterial small subunit ribosomal RNA". The record is from RNAcentral.